CCUACGGGAGGCAGCAGUGGGGAAUAUUGGGCAAUGGAGGAAACUCUGACCCAGCGACGCCGCGUGCGGGAUGAAGGCCUUCGGGUUGUAAACCGCUUUCAGCAGGGAAGAAGCGAAAGUGACGGUACCUGCAGAAGAAGCACCGGCUAACUAUGUGCCAGCAGCCGCGGUAAUACAUAGGGUGCAAGCGUUGUCCGGAAUUAUUGGGCGUAAAGAGCUCGUAGGUGGUUCGUCACGUCGGAUGUGAAAAUCUGGGGCUUAACCCCAGACCUGCAUUCGAUACGGGCGAGCUUGAGUAUGGUAGGGGAGUCUGGAAUUCCUGGUGUAGCGGUGGAAUGCGCAGAUAUCAGGAGGAACACCAAUGGCGAAGGCAGGACUCUGGGCCAUUACUGACACUGAGGAGCGAAAGCGUGGGGAGCGAACAGGAUUAGAUACCCUGGUAGUCCACGCCGUAAACGGUGGGCACUAGUUGUGGGGACCUUCCGUACGUCGUCUGCGACGCAGCUACGCAUUAAGUCGCCCGCCGUCGGGAGGUACGAGUCGCGAAGAAUUAAAACUUAAAAUUAAGUAAGUUAGUACGGCGUGAGACGUGCCGACGGACGACGACGAGGGAGGAGG
This 618-nucleotide ribosomal RNA is filed under the name uncultured bacterium. Its description in RNAcentral is "bacterial SSU rRNA". The stretch from base 1 to 525 matches the Rfam family "Bacterial small subunit ribosomal RNA", at positions 338 to 873 of the family's 1533-position model. The record is from RNAcentral.